RNAcentral lists this ribosomal RNA (439 nucleotides) under uncultured bacterium. Its description in RNAcentral is "partial 16S ribosomal RNA". It matches the Rfam family "Bacterial small subunit ribosomal RNA", at positions 339 to 795 of the family's 1533-position model. The record is from RNAcentral.
CUACGGGCGGCUCCAGUGGGGAAUAUUGCACAAUGGAGGAAACUCUGAUGCAGCAACGCCGCGUGGAGGAUGACGCUUUUCGGAGCGUAAACUCCUUUUAUAUAGGAAGAAGAUGACGGUACUAUAUGAAUAAGCGCCGGCUAACUCCGUGCCAGCAGCCGCGGUAAUACGGAGGGCGCAAGCGUUACUCGGAAUCACUGGGCGUAAAGAGCGUGUAGGCGGAUUAAAAAGUCAGAAGUGAAAUUCUAUAGCUUAACUAUAGAACUGCUUCUGAAACUCUUAAUCUAGAAUAUGGGAGAGGUAGAUGGAAUUUCUGGUGUAGGGGUAAAAUCCGUAGAGAUCAGAAGGAAUACCGAUUGCGAAGGCGAUCUACUAGAACAUUAUUGACGCUGAGACGCGAAAGCGUGGGGAGCAAACAGGAUUAGAUACCCGCGUAGUC